UACGUAGGGUGCGAGCGUUGUCCGGAAUUAUUGGGCGUAAAGAGCUCGUAGGCGGUCCGUCACGUCGGAUGUGAAAUUCCAGGGCUCAACCCUGGACCUGCAUUCGAUACGGGCAGACUAGAGGUAUGCAGGGGAGAACGGAAUUCCUGGUGUAGCGGUGAAAUGCGCAGAUAUCAGGAGGAACACCGGUGGCGAAGGCGGUUCUCUGGGCAUUACCUGACGCUGAGGAGCGAAAGUGUGGGGAGCAAACAGG
RNAcentral lists this ribosomal RNA (253 nucleotides) under uncultured bacterium. RNAcentral's name for it is "partial 16S ribosomal RNA". It matches the Rfam family "Bacterial small subunit ribosomal RNA", at positions 524 to 776 of the family's 1533-position model. The record is from RNAcentral.